RNAcentral lists this ribosomal RNA (855 nucleotides) under uncultured archaeon. RNAcentral's name for it is "SSU rRNA". It matches the Rfam family "Archaeal small subunit ribosomal RNA", at positions 474 to 1337 of the family's 1478-position model. The record is from RNAcentral.
UACCAGCUCUCCGAGUUGUGGGGACGAUUAUUGGGUCUAAAGCAUCCGUAGCCGGCUGGGCAAGUCCUCUGUUAAACCCAGCGACAAAUCGUUGGCUUGCGGGGGAUACUGCUUGGCUAGGGGGCGGGAGAGGCCGUCGGUAUUCUCGGGGUAGGGGUGAAAUCCUAUAAUCCCGGGAGGACCACCAGUGGCGAAGGCUGUCGGCUAGAACGCGCCCGACGGUGAGGGAUGAAAGCUGGGGGAGCGAACCGGAUUAGAUACCCGGGUAGUCCCAGCUGUAAACGAUGCAGGCUAGGUGUUAGGGCGGCUACGGGCCGCUCUAGUGCCGCAGGGAGGCUGUUAAGCCUGCCACCUGGGGAGUACGGCCGCAAGGCUGAAACUUAAAGGAAUUGGCGGGGGAGCACCACAAGGGGUGAAGCUUGCGGUUUAAUUGGAGUCAACGCCGGAAAUCUCACCGGGGGCGACAGCAGAGUGAAGGCCAGAUUGAAGGUCUUGCCAGACGAGCUGAGAGGAGGUGCAUGGCCGUCGCCAGUUCGUGCCGUGAGGUGUCCUGUUAAGUCAGGCAACGAGCGAGACCCGCAUCCCCCGUUGCCACCAGCCUUGAGCUGAGCACACUGGGGAGACCGCCGUCGAGAAGACGGAGGAAGGAGCGGGCCACGGCAGGUCAGUAUGCCCCGAAUCUCCCGGGCCACACGCGAGCUGCAAUGGCAGGUACAAUGGGUUCCGACCUCGAAAGGGGAAGGCAAUCUCUAAAGCCUGCCGUAGUUGGGAUCGAGGGUUGAAACUCACCCUCGUGAACAUGGAAUCCCUAGUAAUCGCGUGUCACUAGCACGCGGUGAAUACGUCCCUGCUCCU